UCCGACCGUCCGCGGGUCUAAUCUUCAGUUCUAAGCUCUGGGAAUUAAAAGGCCAAGGAAAGACAUAGUAGAUGGCUGAAGAACUAUCUUGUCUGACAUUGUUGAGUAUUUCCUGUGUAUCCUUUAAUGGACUCUAGCCUGGAAGUCUUUGGACUUGACCUUACAACAUUGGCUCUUGUGUGGGUCUCCAGCCAACUGACCCAUCUUAAGGUUUUUGAAUUACCAGCCUACAUAAUCAUAUCACUUGUUCUCGGAAAGUUAGCUGUCAUGUCAUGAGCAGCAUAACAGAGGGUCCAUGUGUUGAGGUAACUGGGGCCUCUGAGCAACCCCCAGUGAGAAAGUGAAGGCUGCUAUCAACAGCCACAUAAAUGUGCUUGGAAAUGUGUCCUACAGUCUCAGUCAAGCUUUCUGCUGACAUCAGCCUAAACAUUGACUACAACCUCCUGAGAGAUGUCAGAACCAUCCAGUUAAACCACUCCCUGCUGCCUGA
Zalophus californianus (California sea lion) is the source of this 490-nucleotide long non-coding RNA. RefSeq lists it as uncharacterized. The record is from RefSeq and is a predicted model, not a curated record. NCBI's taxonomy places the organism in Eukaryota, Metazoa, Chordata, Mammalia, Carnivora, Otariidae. The transcript is spliced from 3 exons.